Molecule: long non-coding RNA, 3113 nt
Organism: Gasterosteus aculeatus aculeatus (three-spined stickleback)
Lineage: Eukaryota; Metazoa; Chordata; Actinopteri; Perciformes; Gasterosteidae
Source: Ensembl
CAUACUACUGUAGGGAUGUAGGUAAAAGUUUGGUGAAGUUAGAUGAGUGAUAACGAGCAGGACCGGCAAGCAGCUAACCAUGGCAUGGCGGCUAACACUCCCAGCGCUACGUUUAACAUCCAGCCGCCGGCAGGGGCGGACUUACCAUUAGGCGAAACUAGGCGGUUGCCUAGGGCCCCAAGGUCCUGAGGGGCCCCGUAAAAAUCCUCAUACACUUAUGGUUGAUAAAGUUAUUACUUAUUCGCGCAUAUUAAUUAUAUUUAUGAUUAAAAUUCUCUCGCUAAAAUGCCAACGGAAUGCGUAUCGUAUUAUGUGUGUGUCGGGGCCCCCCUUCAGUGUCCACUACAUUGGAUCAGUCCAUCUUUGCUGCGCAUGUGCAGAACGGAUCCAAGAAACGGUCAAAACGAACGGCGCGAAAUGGCGAAAGACAGUAAGAGGACAGUAUCACACGGAUCAAGCGAAGCGACCCCGAAAAGAGGAGGAAGAAGGAAGAAAAACAAACGUCAAAGUUGCAGAAAGUGACAAGUUUCUUCACCGCUCCUGCGGCAGCGGCCAGCAGCAGCAACCCACAACCUGCUCAACCGACACGGACACCUGAGGAGGAUGAACCAAAAUCUUCUCAUUUCAGAGGGCCCCAUGCCUGCCUUUGCCUUGGGCCCCAAAUUUCUUAAAUCCGCCACUGGACGCUGGAGCCCUUUUCCUAGCCGAACGACUGGAGGAAAUGGAUUCGGAGAUUUGAGAGAUUCCAUCAGGCAAGUAACCAGAGGUUACAAGCUCCGAAGUCAACCAGGAGCUGUGGUCUCCCCCUGUUCAUUCCUGAAGGGUGUGGCUGGAACAGCGGACGGCAUUCAGCCAUCAGGGGACUCUCAUAUCAUCCCGGGUCUUCCUGCCAUUCAGCGCCAGAUCGUUCCAACGUCAGAGUGGUAAACUACUUUUUCAGGCCAUCUGGCUGCUCGCUGUGGAUUAGACGCUGUCUUUGUUUCUGUUCUUUUUCUGUUUUUGCCCUAGUGCUUGAGGAUUCCUACCUGCCGGCUGGCAGGCUCUCAGAGUCCGGUCUCCCCCCCCCGACUCAACCGGUACCUGUGUGCCAAAUUGUGUGUGUACGAUCUGAAUAAACACCUUGUUUUCACGUCGGAAGAACCUUCCUUUGAGUCCUGUGUGCUGCGCUUGGGCCCACGCCCAUCUACCUCACCGUAACUGUCAGGGGUGCCUGGGGAAGGCCGGACUCAAGAUCCAGACUUAACCAAAAAGACUUUAAUAGUCAAAAAAGGCCACAAAGCAAAAGGCCAAUGGGCAAAAACACACACAGGAACUGGGGGCAAAAAGGCACACAGGAACCGAGAACAUCCAGGACGAUAGACAAUGACGCGACAAGUGACACAAGAGACACACGGCUUAAAUAUACCUGGGAGGUGAAGGUGAUUGGACACAGGUGGAAACAAUCAGACAAUUACAGGGGAUGACAGGACCAGGCAGGAAGUGAAGUUACCCAGGGAGACAAUAAGCAGAAAACUACAAAAUAAGACAGGAAAUAAAACCACACCGUGACAGUAACAGAUUAUCCCUGUUUAACUGAUGUUGUCUGAUUGUGUACUAUCAACCUGAAUUGAAUUAAUUAUAUGACUAUUGAUUGUUUCCUUUUAAAUGCCAUCGGAAAUAUACUAGAAUUUGGCUCCCAAAUUACAUUUUGACAGGAUUUAAUUUUGAAAUGCUACAUCCGAAUGUCCUGAUUAUCCAAAACUAAUAUAAAUUGAACAAAAGUUGGCUCAUGAAUGAGAUUUUAAAGGAAGUUGGCUCAUGUAUAACAUUGUUUGAAAUGCUACAUAAGAAUAGGUAUUUCUUGAUAUUUUCUGGUCUGUCUGAAUGAAUUAUUUCUAUAUGUAUUUGAAUAAUUACACAAUUGACAUAACAUUAUCAUUUAUAGACUAUAUAUCUAGUUCUUAGAUAGAUAGAUAGAUAGAUAGGUACUUUAUUGAUCCCUCAAGAGGGAAAUGUUGGUAUCACAGCAGCAUGUACAGGGAAGAAAAUAGAAUAAAAAGAUACACAUUAUAUACAAUAUAAUAAGAUAGAAAUAUUAAAUUAUUAUAUUAAAUUAAAUAAACUAAAACUGAAACAAAAGAAUAACCUUCCAAAAGAGACAAUAAUAAUAAUUUGUAAAAGGAGAAGAGGAAGAUGAAGAGCAGCAACAUCACAGCAGUACAGGGUUAUUAUUGUCAUUAUUUAGCCUGGGAUGAUUUAUUGUAAAGUGUUAUUGCACUGGGCAGGAAUGAUCUCCUGUAUCAGUCCUUGUGACAGCGGAGCUGAAGGAGUCUGUUGGAGAACGCGCUCCGCUGUCCCUGUAGCAGGUGGUGAAGGGGGUGGUCAGGAUUAUCCAAUAUGGAUAACAGUUUCUUCAGUGACCUCCCCUCCAACACCUUUUCCAAGCUGUCCUGUUUGCAGCCAAUGAUGGAGCCGGCCUUCUUAACAAGUUUGUUAAGUCUGUUGGUGUCACUGGCUCAAAUGCUGCUCCCCCAGCAGACCACGGCCAAGUACAAAGCACUGGCCACAACAUCUCCAACAUCUUGCUGCACACAUGGAAGGAUCGAAGCUUCCUCAGGAAAAAGAGUCGACUCAUUCCCUUCCUGUAGACGGCGUUGAUGUUGGUCUUCCAGUUCAGUCUGUUGUCGAUGGAGACACCCAGGUACUUGUAGUCCUCGACCAUGGCCACCUCCUCUCCCAGAACCCUCAGCGGUAGCGGAGCCGUUGUCUUCCUCCAGAAGUCGACCACCAUCUCUCUGGUCUUGGCCACGUUCAGGAGCAGGUGUUACAACUAACAUGCAGACUGGCUUGAUCGCAGUGAAAAGAAGCGCCCUUUGGGUGGAUCAUCUUGUUGUUGGAUACUUUCAAAUGAUCGGUUGACGGUCGGAAAUAUUCUCUACUAGAAAGUUGCACUUUGCUCCUCUUAAAUAACUAGAACAUGAUAUGUGAUAUUCAGGGGCAAACGCUAAUAGUAACAAAAUGUUUAGUGGCGACAAAAUAUAUUUGGAAGACCAAUGAGAAGAUUUUUUUUUAAAAGAGUGGGAUCUGAAAUUGUUUUAACGAAGCGACAAAUGGCUAUUCCCACAGUCUGCCGU